This 510-nucleotide ribosomal RNA is filed under the name uncultured bacterium. Its description in RNAcentral is "partial 16S ribosomal RNA". It matches the Rfam family "Bacterial small subunit ribosomal RNA", at positions 28 to 523 of the family's 1533-position model. The record is from RNAcentral.
GACGAACGCUGGCGGCGUGCUUAACACAUGCAAGUGGUGCGACGAACCAGGCUUCGGCCUGGGGCAGAGCCGCGAACGGGUGAGUAACGCGUGGGCAGCCUGCCCUGUUGAUCGGGACAACCCGGGGAAACCCGGGCUAAUACCGAAUGUGGUGCCGGCUCAUGAGAGCCGUCACGAACGGAAGCUUCGGCCUCCGCGACAGGAUGGGUCCGCGGCCCAUUGGCUUGUUGGUGGGGUAAUGGCCUAGCAAGGCAACGAUGGGUAGCUGGUCUGAGAGGACGAUCAGCCACACUGGGACUGAGACACGGACCAGACUCCUACGGGAGGCUGCAGUGGGGAAUCUUGCGCAAUGAGCGACAGCUUGACGCGGCAACGCCGCGUGGGGGAAGAAGGCUUUCGUGUCGUAAACCUCUGUUGUUAGGGAAGAACAAGUGCUAGUUGAAUAAGCUGGCACCUUGACGGUACCUAACCAGAAAGCCACGGCUAACUACGUGCCAGCAGCCGCAGUAA